Molecule: unclassified non-coding RNA, 331 nt
Filed under: uncultured fungus
Lineage: Eukaryota; Fungi
Description: sequence contains ITS1
Rfam family: 5.8S ribosomal RNA (bases 1-105)
Source: RNAcentral
GAAAUGCGAUACGCAAUGCGAAUUGCAGAAUUCCGCGAGUCAUCAGAUCUUUGAACGCAACUGGCGCUAGAGGGAUAUCCUUCUAGCAUGCUUGUUUCAGUGUCUAGAAACAUCAUAUAACUUAAUGUGAUUGAUGAUGUUAUGUUUUCAUAACAUAAACAUUAUCUCUCAUGAAAUAUGUAAAUGUGGAUCUUUUGAUCCAACGAAGUAGUCACAUUCUCAUAUGUGAUUUCGUUUGGUUUAUCAAAUUAUCCGUAAACAUCUAUAAAAACAAUAUAAAAACUUCUUCAAUAUGCAUCUGAAAUCAAGCAAGAUUACCCGCUGAACUUAA